This 208-nucleotide ribosomal RNA is filed under the name uncultured bacterium. Its description in RNAcentral is "partial 16S ribosomal RNA". It matches the Rfam family "Bacterial small subunit ribosomal RNA", at positions 1293 to 1500 of the family's 1533-position model. The record is from RNAcentral.
UCGGAUUGUAGUCUGCAACCCGACUACAUGAAGCUGGAAUCGCUAGUAAUCGCGGAUCAGAAUGCCGCGGUGAAUACGUUCCCGGGUCUUGUACACACCGCCCGUCACACCAUGGGAGUCGGAAAUGCCCGAAGUCUGUGACCUAACCGCAAGGGAGGAGCAGCCGAAGGCAGGUCGGAUGACUGGGGUGAAGUCGUAACAAGGUAUC